Molecule: ribosomal RNA, 506 nt
Filed under: uncultured bacterium
Lineage: Bacteria
Description: partial 16S ribosomal RNA
Rfam family: Bacterial small subunit ribosomal RNA
Source: RNAcentral
AUUGAACGCUGGCGGCAUGCCUUACACAUGCAAGUCGAACGGCAGCACAGGAGAGCUUGCUCUCUGGGUGGCGAGUGGCGGACGGGUGAGGAAUACAUCGGAAUCUACUUUUUCGUGGGGGAUAACGUAGGGAAACUUACGCUAAUAUCGCAUACGACCUACGGGUGAAAGCAGGGGAUCUUCUGACCUUGCGGGAUUGAAUGAGCCGAUGUCGGAGUAGCUAGUUGGCGGGGGAAAGGCCCACCAAGGCGACGAUCCGUGGCUGGUCGGAGAGGAGGAUUAGACACACUGGGACUGAGACACGGUCCAGACUCGUACGGGAGGCAGCAGUGGGGAAUAUUGGACAAUGGGCGCAAGCCUGAUCCAGCCAUACCGCGUGGGUGAAGAAGGCCUUCGGGUUGUAAAGCCCUUUUGUUGGGAAAGAAAUCCGGCUGGCUAAUACCCGGUUGGGAUGACGGUACCCAAAGAAUAAGCACCGGCUAACUUCGUGCCAGCCGCCGCAGUAA